Molecule: long non-coding RNA, 272 nt
Filed under: Rosa chinensis
Lineage: Eukaryota; Viridiplantae; Streptophyta; Magnoliopsida; Rosales; Rosaceae
Description: sRNA RchiOBHm_Chr7g0186251
Source: RNAcentral
UAUUUAUUUAUAAAUAAAGCCCGCAAGGCCCGGCCCAUAAAAGCCCGCAAGGCCAAGCCCGGCCCGGCCCGAAAAAGCCCGCAAGGCCCGCUUUAUAUGGACGGGCUUGGAUCCUUUGAUUUUUAAUAAAGCCCGGCCCGGCCCGGCCCGCAAUUAUUUAAAAAUAUGGCAAGGCCCGGCCCGGCCCGGCCCGAGCCCGCUAUGAAUGGGCCGGGCCGGGCCCGGCCCGGCCCGUUGACGACCCCUACCCAGCUAUAUAGAAGCUUCGACCG